AAAGUGUCCACCCAACCAGGGCAAGAAAAAGGACAGUGCUCUCUGGGUCAAAGAUGGCGCAGAUGAAGGCCUGCCCAGCCAUCAGCAAACUCGAGGCAGAGAGAGAAAGGAAGAAAUCACAGGCCUGAGCCAACUGAGCUGGUUGAGACAAGAGUAAACAGGAGUUUACUAUCCACUUGCUGAGGAAGACCCAUCCAGUGAGACAGCCUAAUCACAAGAGAAGAAAAUACAUGGGAAGUGACAAGCCUGGAGAAUUCAGAAUCCCAAGCCCUGCUUGGCAGCAUGAACUGAACCUUGAACUUCCCCACGGCCUUGUGUUCUCUGACCCUGUGAUCCUCUUCUGGUUCCCACCCACAGGAGCCUAAUUCUGGUGGUCCUUGUCCCAAGCUCAGAACCAGCCAUGGUGCUAAUGGCAGCUCCUUCCCAAAAGCACCCAGCUCAGGCUCCUUCUCAGGAUCUCAAGUCUAAAAAACCUCCCAGCUCAAGUUUAUGGCUAAAGAAGAGGUCUUGUUGUUCUGCCUACAAUAUAGCAACCUUGUCUCCAUAAAAAGAAGAGAACGUAGACUCUCAAAGAGACACCAGAGCCACAAAAUGUAGACAGAUCCCACACCUACUGAUGAGGAUGACGGUUAGAGGGCCACCCUAGGGGGGAUAGAACUGGAUAGGCUUUUCAAAAGGGGCAGCUCUGAAAUCUGUAGAAAAUAAGGUAGUUUUCUCUGUAAUUGAACAAAGGAAGAGAGGAACAGAUUAAGGAGCAAGGAUUAAGGGAGGAGGGAUAUUAUCAGAUACCAUUUUGCAUAAAUAUCAUAAUGUGGUGAAUUUAAUUAUUUUUUACUUUCAGCCAAAAGUUUUGGUAUUGCAUUCAGAACCAUUGAAAAAAUG
This is a long non-coding RNA of Mustela lutreola (European mink), 882 nucleotides long. RefSeq lists it as uncharacterized. The transcript is spliced from 3 exons. NCBI's taxonomy places the organism in Eukaryota, Metazoa, Chordata, Mammalia, Carnivora, Mustelidae. The record is from RefSeq and is a predicted model, not a curated record.